RNAcentral lists this ribosomal RNA (253 nucleotides) under uncultured bacterium. RNAcentral's name for it is "partial 16S ribosomal RNA". It matches the Rfam family "Bacterial small subunit ribosomal RNA", at positions 524 to 776 of the family's 1533-position model. The record is from RNAcentral.
UACGUAGGGUGCGAGCGUUAAUCGGAAUUACUGGGCGUAAAGUGUGCGCAGGCGGCGCCGCAUGUCGAGUGUGAAAGCCCCGGGCUUAACUUGGGAAUUGCGCUCGAAACUACGUGGCUCGAGUGUGGCAGAGGAAGGUGGAAUUCCACGUGUAGCGGUGAAAUGCGUAGAUAUGCGGAGGAACACCGAUGGCGAAGGCAAUCCCCUGGGCCUGCACUGACGCUCAUGCACGAAAGCGUGGGGAGCAAACAGG